This 233-nucleotide long non-coding RNA is filed under the name Mytilus galloprovincialis (Mediterranean mussel). The record is from RNAcentral. Lineage: Eukaryota; Metazoa; Mollusca; Bivalvia; Mytilida; Mytilidae.
CGAUGUUGUGCCACAAACAUUCGGUGUCAAUAUUUCUUUAGUACACCAGAUCUAGAUUUCGACAAUAUAUGUCUCUUCAGUGAUGUUAGGGAUCGAAACGGUAUUUGGAAGGCCAUAUAAUUUACUCUCAAUUUAAGAUUGACUCUUGAAUUUUAAGAGACAAUAUAGGAUGAACGGAUCAUAUAAACCGGAGGGAAAAUAUGAUACAUGCCCAAACAAAAAAUAUAAACGAG